Molecule: small nuclear RNA, 111 nt
Organism: Mastomys coucha (southern multimammate mouse)
Lineage: Eukaryota; Metazoa; Chordata; Mammalia; Rodentia; Muridae
Source: RefSeq, a predicted model, not a curated record
AUGCUCCCUUCUGCAGUACAUACAUUCAAACUGAAAUGAUGUAGAGAAGAUUAGCAAGCACAACCCAUGUGCACGGAUGACACCCAAAUUCAUGAUGAGUGCCAUAUUAUA